Molecule: ribosomal RNA, 1483 nt
Filed under: metagenome
Description: bacterial SSU rRNA
Rfam family: Bacterial small subunit ribosomal RNA
Source: RNAcentral
AGAGUUUGAUCCUGGCUCAGGAUGAACGCUAGCUACAGGCUUAACACAUGCAAGUCGAGGGGCAGCAUUUUAGUUUGCUUGCAAACUGAAGAUGGCGACCGGCGCACGGGUGAGUAACACGUAUCCAACCUGCCGAUAACUCCGGGAUAGGCUUUCGAAAGAAAGAUUAAUACCGGAUAGUAUACGAAUAUCGCAUGAUAUUUUUAUUAAAGAAUUUCGGUUAUCGAUGGGGAUGCGUUCCAUUAGUUUGUUGGCGGGGUAACGGCCCACCAAGACUACGAUGGAUAGGGGUUCUGAGAGGAAGGUCCCCCACAUUGUAACUGAGACACGGUCCAAACUCCUACGGGAGGCAGCAGUGAGGAAUAUUGGUCAAUGGGCGCGAGCCUGAACCAGCCAAGUAGCGUGAAGGAUGAAGGCUCUAUGGGUCGUAAACUUCUUUUAUAUGGGAAUAAAGUUUUCCACGUGUGGAAUUUUGUAUGUACCAUAUGAAUAAGGAUCGGCUAACUCCGUGCCAGCAGCCGCGGUAAUACGGAGGAUCCGAGCGUUAUCCGGAUUUAUUGGGUUUAAAGGGAGCGUAGGUGGAUUGUUAAGUCAGUUGUGAAAGUUUGCGGCUCAACCGUAAAAUUGCAGUUGAAACUGGCAGUCUUGAGUACAGUAGAGGUGGGCGGAAUUCGUGGUGUAGCGGUGAAAUGCUUAGAUAUCACGAAGAACUCCGAUUGCGAAGGCAGCUCACUAGAUUGUCACUGACACUGAUGCUCGAAAGUGUGGGUAUCAAACAGGAUUAGAUACCCUGGUAGUCCACACAGUAAACGAUGAAUACUCGCUGUUUGCGAUAUACAGUAAGCGGCCAAGCGAAAGCAUUAAGUAUUCCACCUGGGGAGUACGCCGGCAACGGUGAAACUCAAAGGAAUUGACGGGGGCCCGCACAAGCGGAGGAACAUGUGGUUUAAUUCGAUGAUACGCGAGGAACCUUACCCGGGCUCAAAUUGCAACAGAAUAUAUUGGAAACAGUAUAGCCGUAAGGCUGUUGUGAAGGUGCUGCAUGGUUGUCGUCAGCUCGUGCCGUGAGGUGUCGGCUUAAGUGCCAUAACGAGCGCAACCCUUAUCUUUAGUUACUAACAGGUUAUGCUGAGGACUCUAGAGAGACUGCCGUCGUAAGAUGUGAGGAAGGUGGGGAUGACGUCAAAUCAGCACGGCCCUUACGUCCGGGGCUACACACGUGUUACAAUGGGGGGUACAGAAGGCGGCUACCUGGUGACAGGAUGCUAAUCCCAAAAACCUCUCUCAGUUCGGAUCGAAGUCUGCAACCCGACUUCGUGAAGCUGGAUUCGCUAGUAAUCGCGCAUCAGCCAUGGCGCGGUGAAUACGUUCCCGGGCCUUGUACACACCGCCCGUCAAGCCAUGAAAGCCGGGGGUACCUGAAGUACGUAACCGCAAGGAGCGUCCUAGGGUAAAACUGGUAAUUGGGGCUAAGUCGUAACAA